UAGCAUAUCAAUAAGCGGAGGAAAAGAAACCAACAGGGAUUGCCUCAGUAACUGCGAGUGAAGCGGCAAAAGCUCAAAUUUGAAAUCCGGCGUCUCUGGCGUCUGAGUUGUAAUUUGGAGGGGCAUCUUCGAGGUUGGCGUCGUCCUAAGUUCCUUGGAACAGGACGUCACAGAGGGUGAGAAUCCCGUGCCUGGACGGAUGUCCGGCCUCAUGUGAAGUGUCUCCGACGAGUCGAGUUGUUUGGGAAUGCAGCUCAAAAUGGGUGGUAAAUUUCAUCUAAAGCUAAAUAUUGGCGAGAGACCGAUAGCGCACAAGUAGAGUGAUCGAAAGAUGAAAAGCACUUUGAAAAGAGAGUUAAAAAGUACGUGAAAUUGUUGAAAGGGAAGCGCUUGAGACCAGACUCGACUGGUGGUGAUCAGCCGUACUUCUGUAUGGUGCACUGGCUAUCAGUCGGGCCAGCAUCAGUUCUGGUGGUGGGAUAAAAGGGGCGGAAACGUGGCCGUAUUCGUACGGUGUUACAGUCCGCCUCACAAUGCCGCCGGCUGGGACUGAGGACCGCGCCUCUGGCUAGGAUGCUGGCGUAAUGGUUUUAAGCGACCCGUCUUGAAACACGGACCAAGGAGUCUAACAUCUAUGCGAGUGUUCGGGUGGAAAACCCUUGCGCGUAAUGAAAGUGAACGGAGGUGGGAACCCCUCGGGGUGCACCAUCGACCGAUCCUGAUGUCUUCGGAUGGAUUUGAGUAAGAGCAUAGCUGUUGGGACCCGAAAGAUGGUGAACUAUGCCUGAAUAGGGUGAAGCCAGGGGAAACUCUGGUGGAGGCUCGCAGCGGUUCUGACGUGCAAAUCGAUCGUCAAAUUUGGGUAUAGGGGCGAAAGACUAAUCGAACCAUCUAGUAGCUGGUUCCUG
This 908-nucleotide ribosomal RNA is filed under the name Aleurina argentina. RNAcentral's name for it is "partial large subunit ribosomal RNA". It matches the Rfam family "Eukaryotic large subunit ribosomal RNA", at positions 36 to 960 of the family's 3401-position model. Lineage: Eukaryota; Fungi; Ascomycota; Pezizomycetes; Pezizales; Pyronemataceae. The record is from RNAcentral.